Molecule: long non-coding RNA, 4307 nt
Organism: Coturnix japonica (Japanese quail)
Lineage: Eukaryota; Metazoa; Chordata; Aves; Galliformes; Phasianidae
Source: RefSeq, a predicted model, not a curated record
GCAGCCUGGAGGUCGAGUCGCCCAUCCUGAAGGUGGAGCUGCAGAGCCGGAGGAGGCGCCGCGGUGCCGUUAGCAUCGCCCCUCUGAGGGCGGGGAAGGGAGGCGAAGGACUCUGGUGAUCUUUGCAGCAGUCCACUGUGUCAUGUUUAUGCAACCCGCUGCAUCAUGAUGAUUGGGCAAUUUAUUGUCUUUUCCAAUCUCUAUGCCAAUCCUGCAUGAUUUCAUGUUGUUGGGGUUUUGUUUUAUAUGUAUCUAGAAUAUGUGCUUAAAAAAUCUUCCAAGACCAGUGUAAUAAAAGCACAGGAACAAGAAGUGAAUGGAGUAGACUUGCAGAAAAUACCCAUCAUCUUUUAGGGAGUAAUACACAUAGUGCAGAUUUUAUGUACAAUAAGCAGUAUAUUUCCCAAGGUGGGAGACACAGAAGCUGGAACAGAAUCACAGAAUUAUCAAGGUUGAAAAAGACCUAGAAAAUCAUCUAGUCCAACCAUCACCAAUACUUCCCAGCUAAAUCAUAUUCAUCAACACAGCAUCCAGACGUUUCUUGAACACUCCCAUGGUCGGUGACUCCACCACCUCCCUGGGCAGUGCAUUCUAAUGCCCAGAAGAUCAUGGAACACAGGUGUUUUGUUAUUCAGAGAAUCACAAGGUUGGAAAGGACCUACAAGAUCAUCUAGUCCAACUGUCCUCCCUUUACCAUACCUACAGAAAGCCACUAAACCAUCUCUCCUAGCUCCCAGAGAAUUGUUUGUAAAGUCAUGGUCAGGAGAAGGGAAGUUUGUACAAAAACUGCUGACUGCAAAGAAAGUUUGUGAACUAGACAGAUGCCUUGCACUGUGAAUUUCAGAAUAAGGGAAAACAUAAUGCACAAAUGUGAGGCAAAGACGUUAUAGGAAGGAAAUGAGAGUAAUUCAAUGCAAAAUUCAUAUGGAGGGUUGUAAAGAAGUUGGAUUGUUGCCUGGGUAGAAAGGAAGAUGAUAAAAUGACAGUCUAGUCUAAAAACAUACUGUGCCAAAAGAGCAAAGUGCCAUUCACCUCCCAGUCAAACAGGAUUUUACAGGUGUGUGGUGCUCUUGAGACACAGAAUUUAUUCAGCUUUAUAGUGGUGUUGGAUAUUUACAGCGAUAUUGAGAAUUCCUACAUGCUCCUACAUUUGGAGAAGCAGGAAAUCCAUGCUGUACGAUCCAGGCUUCCCAUAAUAGAAUCACAGAAUCACAGAAUUAUCAAGGUUGGAAAAGACCUAGAAGAUCAUCUAGUCCAACCAUUACCGAUACUUCCCAGCUAAAUCAUAUUCAUCAACACUCAGCAUUCAAAUCUCAGAUGGAGACUUGAGAAAUGAGCUGUCCCAUCUCUGUCUUCAGAUUCACUGUUCUUCACAAAGUAACAGAAUAAUAGGGCUUGGAAGGGAGUUCUGGAGACCAUCUCGUGCAACCUAAGGCAGGUUUCCUAGAGUUCCUGUACGUGAAACAACAUCCUAUUUGAACACAAGUAGUCCUGUGCUUGCAGCCCAUUUGGAGUUUUGUUUGUAUGUCUAUUCAGUUAGAAUCGUUGAGAAAUAGGACCAGAGAGAUCCUCAGGUGAUAUCUUAAAAAUCUACAAUACCUUAAAGGAAAUCCAUUAAAGAAGUAAACGUAGAGAUGCGUAUGAUGGAUAACUGCAAUAUUAAGAAACAAAAAUAAAAGAAUUGGAAAUGUUCAAUGAAAAACUGAAUUCCAUUUUAAACAUAUUCUCCUAUAUAGCAUCACCUAUACUGAUGAUUCCCAACUCUUAGAAGCCUCUAAAAGUGAUGACAUCCACUGGACUGAUAGCAAAUAAUUCUCUUCCUCCUUAUUUGUCUUCAUUUUUUUCAUAUCACCAUAUAUUUCUAUACUCACUUCACUCCCUGCCAAGGACAUGCAUCUAAAAAAAAUCCAACGGUUAAUGUUACAAGGGACAGCAGUGCUGCUUUUACUGUAAGAGUUAAUGUGUCUGUCGAUGAAACUGUGAAUGCCCAACCUGAAUCUUUGACUGUGAGCACUCCUGCUGCCUCGUUGUGAGUGGUUCCAUUUUCAUAGCCAUCAUCCUUGCAUGAAUCGAGGUCAAUCAGAGGUGAAGGACAGAAAAACAGACUUCUGUUUGGACAAUUCAGUCUGCAGAUGAAGUGGCUGAGACCUUACAGGGCCCUUAUGCUCUCUGAAAAUCCAGCAUCCCCUCUGCUCAGUGUUUCCAGUGGUCUUCCAUGCUGUAUAUGCUGUCCACAUGUAUUUAAAUUAUGUCUCUUAAAUCAGAGGUGUUCUUUGUUACAGGAAAAACUGCUUUGUCACCCAUUGCAUUCAGCUGCUUCGUUUGUGAAGCUGACAGCAGCAGAGAAGGGCACUAAAGGAUUGACACUGGGACUCCAAAACAGUGGUUAGAGCAGUGACAGAUAGGAGGGCUGCUGAAGCAUUUCGAUUACAGCUAUUAAGGGCAGGAAACAGUCUUUCAUUCUAUGUUUGUAUGGCACUUCACACUCAGUGUUCCUGCUUCGGAGCUGGAUCCUAAGUAUUAAAUAGUAAUAAGCCAUGAUGCCACUUAGCAAAUAAAAACUGCUGGUUUCCAGAAGUGCUUAGUGCUUCUUCACUCCGUGGAAACAUAAUACUUCUGUAAUUUGUUAAAUCUCCUUUGUAUUUCAGGAAAGUGUGAACUAUCCCCUCUUCUCAUUCUAGAGGCUGAGAAGGAAGAGUCUAAAAAGUAUUGCUAGUGCAACCAUUUUACAGUGUGUGCUGAAGACCUUCAGGAAAUCAGUGUGAAGAAGGAAAAAGGUGCAAAGGAGAAAACAGGAAGAAAAGGGAUGUGAACUUAACCUGUGUCCUUCCAGGCAGGGCCAUACACAGAUUCCCAAUCAUUCCAUCUUUUAGGAGCAUGAUCAAAAUACAGUUGAUGUUCAUUGUAUAUAGUCCUUGCCUUUAGAGCAGGAUUUGCUCACCUUUUUGGAUUAUUGUUUUUCCAGUGUAGCAAAAUGGGCUGUGUUUUGCAACUAGUAAAGCCCCUAUGAGUAUCUCAUGGUAAUCACACUGAUGGUAUAGCCAGGUUUCUAUUGCAGUGUGCAUCUUCUGGAAGAGCACCGGUUCGGUUUUUGCUUUUUGAUUUUAAAGCAUAUAGCAACAGAGGAUCCUCCAUGGGCUUUGGUGGUUUAUUCAGUGCUUAAUUGCUGUUAGAAACACACGCUUUAUUUUUAGUUCAGCUUCCUUUGGAUCAUAGCUUAUCUUUCCUUGCACGAAGAGAUUUGUUUUCUCAUUCUGCAAGUAUUGUCAUUGCCCUUCUUUGAACUCUCCAGGUUUUUAGUUGACAUCUUAUUUAAUUAUUUAUUUCAUUGCCCAGUCUGAUGAAGAUAUGAAUAAUUAGUGCAGCAUGCUGGUACUGGUCACAACAAAGCAAUUACAGAUCUAAUAUGGUUUCCUGAUUCCUGCUUGGUUUCGUGUUCACGUGUCCAAGGGCAGUCAGUAUUAGCCUUGCAGCGCUGGAGGCAUGAUGCUGGCAUUCCCAAGGGCUCUACAGGAAUUUAUUACCAAUGUAUAGAAAUCCAUAGAUUAUGGCAAAUAAACAGGAAAUUGUGGCCUGUGUCUUUCCUUGGCCUCCUUUAUAUUACUAGGAUAGUCUUAUAGCAAUUUCUGAUAGUCUUUGUUACUACCGCUCCUGCAGUUUUUGGGUUAGCUGCUAGCAGUUGGAAAUUACUGUCUAUGUUCCUCUCCAUAAUGGUUAGAAAUGUCAAAUAAUGGAGCUCAGAACUGAUGCCUACAUGACAUUGCUGUAAACAUGCCAACCUGUGAAGAAUGCCUCAUUGCAGUCACAUUUUGUGACCAGUUAGGUAACAAGAUCUCUGAAAAUUAACAUAUUUUCAUCACAGAAUCACAGAAUUAUCAAGGUUGGAAAAGACCUAGAAGAUCAUCCAGUCCUACCAUUACCAAUACUUCCCAGCUAAAUCAUAUCUUUCAACAUCAGGACAAACCUCUGCUCCCCCACUUUUAGCAGAAGGACAUGAACUGCUUCUCAGGAAGAUUUUCAAUCAGGGGAACUAGAGAUUUUAAGUACCACAGUUCUUUUAGGAAGCCACAAACCUGAAUUCCUGUAUCAACAGCUGUAUCUGUUACGCAGAAGGAGAAUGAAGAUGAUAAUACAGUAAGGCAAUCUACAUGAAACAGUUUCUGGAGAGAAGAUUAAUCAGUCAUUCACGUGCCUUCCAUUUGUGAUCUAGAUUGGAGUUUGGAUACAGAUUCAGCUACAUAAAUUACACUGAAAAUGGAACUGACGUAGAAGAGACAUCAGCAUUACACCUCAGAGUAGUGCAGUGA